GACGAACGCUGGCGGCGUGCUUAACACAUGCAAGUCGAACGCUGAAGCUUGGUGCUUGCACUGGGUGGAUGAGUGGCGAACGGGUGAGUAAUACGUGAGUAACCUGCCCUUGACUCUGGGAUAAGCCUGGGAAACUGGGUCUAAUACUGGAUACGACAUGUCACCGCAUGGUGGUGUGUGGAAAGGGUUUUACUGGUUUUGGAUGGGCUCACGGCCUAUCAGCUUGUUGGUGGGGUAAUGGCUCACCAAGGCGACGACGGGUAGCCGGCCUGAGAGGGUGACCGGCCACACUGGGACUGAGACACGGCCCAGACUCCUACGGGAGGCAGCAGUGGGGAAUAUUGCACAAUGGGCGGAAGCCUGAUGCAGCGACGCCGCGUGAGGGAUGACGGCCUUCGGGUUGUAAACCUCUUUCAGCACGGGAGAAGCGAAAGUGACGGUACGUGCAGAAGAAGCGCCGGCUAACUACGUG
Molecule: ribosomal RNA, 472 nt
Filed under: uncultured bacterium
Lineage: Bacteria
Description: partial 16S ribosomal RNA
Rfam family: Bacterial small subunit ribosomal RNA
Source: RNAcentral